This 465-nucleotide ribosomal RNA is filed under the name Vreelandella stevensii. RNAcentral describes it as "partial 16S ribosomal RNA". It matches the Rfam family "Bacterial small subunit ribosomal RNA", at positions 338 to 795 of the family's 1533-position model. Lineage: Bacteria; Pseudomonadati; Pseudomonadota; Gammaproteobacteria; Oceanospirillales; Halomonadaceae. The record is from RNAcentral.
CCUACGGGUGGCAGCAGUGGGGAAUAUUGGACAAUGGGCGAAAGCCUGAUCCAGCCAUGUCGCGUGUGUGAAGAAGGCCUUCGGGUUGUAAAGCACUUUCAGUGGGGAAGAAAGCCUUGGGGCUAAUACCCUCGAGGAAGGACAUCACCUAAAGAAGAAGCACCGGCUAACUCCGUGCCAGCAGCCGCGGUAAUACGGAGGGUGCGAGCGUUAAUCGGAAUUACUGGGCGUAAAGCGCGCGUAGGCGGUCUGAUAAGCCGGUUGUGAAAGCCCCGGGCUCAACCUGGGAACGGCAUCCGGAACUGUCAGGCUAGAGUGCAGGAGAGGAGGGUAGAAUUCCCGGUGUAGCGGUGAAAUGCGUAGAGAUCGGGAGGAAUACCAGUGGCGAAGGCGGCCUUCUGGACUGACACUGACGCUGAGGUGCGAAAGCGUGGGUAGCAAACAGGAUUAGAUACCCUAGUAGUC